RNAcentral lists this ribosomal RNA (573 nucleotides) under Triticum aestivum (bread wheat). RNAcentral's name for it is "partial small subunit ribosomal RNA". Lineage: Eukaryota; Viridiplantae; Streptophyta; Magnoliopsida; Poales; Poaceae. The record is from RNAcentral.
AUGGAGCCUUACGGCUUGUUAUUGCUUACCGGGGGUAGGUGCUGCACAAAGUGUCAGAUAACAUAUGCAAACAAUAGAAAGCAUGAAAUUGACAAGAUGUGCGGAGCACAUGAGCUUUAUUUAUGCACGGGGUCUGCGCCCGGCUUUGUAGAAGGAUUACAUGCAACAUCGGCAAGACUUGUACAAAAGGUGGUUGCCGGAACAGGUUCCGGCAGCCGCGCCCUACGGGUAAAACUUACGAAGAUGCUCAAUGUUCCAGGAGUUGCUCACCAGAAUGCCAUCUUCAGUCUCAAGGCGGACAGCGCCAGGCCUAGUGACUCGUUUCACCCGGUAAGGGCCUUCCCACUUCGGCGUCAACUUGUUGGAAUUCUUGGUGGACUGAACGCGUCGAAGAACAAGGUCGUCUUCCUUGAAACUUCUGGCAUUAACUUUGCGGCUAUGGUAGCGGCGCAAAGCUUGCUGGUAUCGAGCAGCUCGUACAGCAGCCUGAAGACGGUCCUCCUCAAGGAGCAGCACGUCAUCUUGUCGCAGCUGCUCUUGCUCAAGCUCAUCAUAAGCAAGCACUCGAGGUGA